UUCUCUCGAAUGAUGAAGCAUUUCCGGAUGUAAUUGCCUACGGGCCAUGUCCGAGAGCGCAUAAAACCAAGUGGACAUCUCCGUUGCCUUCCUUCUGAUUCACUCU
RNAcentral lists this small nucleolar RNA (106 nucleotides) under Tremella mesenterica DSM 1558. Its description in RNAcentral is "Small nucleolar RNA Z13/snr52". It matches the Rfam family "Small nucleolar RNA Z13/snr52". From Rfam's summary of the family: Z13 or snr52 is a member of the C/D class of snoRNA which contain the C (UGAUGA) and D (CUGA) box motifs. Most of the members of the box C/D family function in directing site-specific 2'-O-methylation of substrate RNAs. Lineage: Eukaryota; Fungi; Basidiomycota; Tremellomycetes; Tremellales; Tremellaceae. The record is from Rfam by way of RNAcentral.